Non-coding RNA from Salmo salar (Atlantic salmon), 54 nucleotides. Lineage: Eukaryota; Metazoa; Chordata; Actinopteri; Salmoniformes; Salmonidae. The record is from Rfam.
AACACAGACGUCUGUAAGUCGCUUCGGAUAAAAGUGUCUGCUAAAUGGCAUAUA